GGUCAUGAGCGCCAGCGACAAGCCCCGGCUCGCUGGCCGGCAACCCUCCUCCGCGGCGGGGUGCCCCGGGUGACGACCUGGCCGGUGCCGACGUGGCGCCGGCAAGCGCGGACC
Molecule: regulatory RNA element, 114 nt
Organism: Kineococcus radiotolerans
Lineage: Bacteria; Bacillati; Actinomycetota; Actinomycetes; Kineosporiales; Kineosporiaceae
Rfam family: SAM (S-adenosyl methionine) riboswitch aptamer
About the family: SAM-IV is a mRNA element that regulates gene expression via direct sensing of S-adenosylmethionine (SAM or AdoMet). SAM-IV riboswitches share conserved nucleotide positions with the previously described SAM-I riboswitches sequence analysis and molecular recognition experiments suggest that SAM-I and SAM-IV riboswitches share similar ligand binding sites, but have different scaffolds.
Source: Rfam